GAAAAAUCUCAUUCGCUAGAGAGCGUGCGCGUAUAUAGUGUCUAUUACUCGCUAGGUGUGGGUCUUGCACGAACAUCAGGGAUGGGCAAAAUCAGUCCGCUAUGCCUUUCUUGUUCGUCCUAACUGAAAGUUGCUGGCGCCGGCCAGCAUCUACAGCAAUAGGAGCCUCCGGGAGAGCCGAGCUGCUGGCCCUGUUACUCAUCAAGAUAGUUCCCCAUACAUAUGCAACCCAAGGUCGUUUCAAACUCACAGCUGGUUAGCAGGCAUUCGCUCUGACAAGGUUGAGAAAGAACAAAAAAAAUAUGAACGCUCAAACAUCAACUUCUUUCUCUUUCUGUGACGCGCUCUAGGCUCCGUUAAAUAUCAGGCGAUGGAGAGAAACUGUCCACGCGUGAAAUAGUAGUGACCAGUAAUUUCACAAACUCCCUUCACGCCAACGCUCCCUACGUGAGGUCGAUUUAUUUUUCUCACAGGAGAUCCAACCGACGUCAUAUCUAACACCUUGAUAACAUUCCCCCCCCCCACCCCCCACCAAUCUGCAUUUAACGCCAUCUUCUUCGUCUACGUGUAUAGUAUAUGUCGUAAAUUUUCUUUGGUUGGAUAUGCAAUUUUGAUUCACAAACACAAAGCGGUGCGUGCGUGUCGGAAAAGGGACAAGCGGCGCCUCUGGUGGUUCUCCCUGACAGCCUUGUGAUACCUCGGCUAUUGUCCCGCUCUCUUUCCAUCAAACUCUUUUUUUGGAGCGUCUCAUAAACCUAUGCACGUAUAGCAAAAGAGGCGCCACUCAAUUCUUUUUCUUCGGGAUUGUUAUUUCAACAUCGUUCGUCACACAUUCCCGGCCUGUCAUUUCAAUCUAUGUUAUUCACGCUACCGCAUUUUUUUUAUUUAUUUUUAUUUGAUUUUAAAUGAUAGAUCACCUUCCUUUUAUACUUGGAUUGUUGUACGUUCGGCUCGACUCUUUUGUUACGCGCACCCGUUCGCAUUUUUCGUGAGAUUGUUGUGCUGAGACGAUUGUUAAACACAAACACGGUUGGGUGAAUCACGUCGCGUGGAAAACGGAAAAUCCCCGAGAUCAAAAGAAUUAGGUGUUUACGGUGUGCGAUAAACUCCUGAACUACAUUUCGACCGUAAUGCUAUCGUUAAAAAUAAAGGACGAGGACAAUUUGAGUGUGUGUGUGUGUGUGUAAUCAUACACGUUAAUAAUCCGGCAAGGUGUAAUGUAACAAUUCCCCCCACGUGUUUUUUUUUUUAUCAAAGGGUAAAUAAGAACGAUAUGAAUACGCCCAUCGUGAAAAUAAUGGAAGAAUAAUUUUGCAGUGAUUGCAGUUUCAAGGUGAUCCGAAACUGGAAUCAUCUGGUUCGUACUAGAUUUUAUUAGUUAUUUAUAGAUAGGGAAUUUUUAGGAUCAAUAGAGGUUGGAUAGGUGA
Molecule: long non-coding RNA, 1427 nt
Organism: Daphnia magna
Lineage: Eukaryota; Metazoa; Arthropoda; Branchiopoda; Diplostraca; Daphniidae
Exons: 3
Source: RefSeq, a predicted model, not a curated record